CGCGGAAAGGGCUAGAGUAGGGAUGAGACGGAGCGGGACGUCCCCGGUGAGGUGCCGAGGGCUACGUUUGUGACAGGCUUGUAGGUGCGGAAUUCGUUGAGCAUCACCUGGCCGCCGGGUCCCAAGGCUUUCGGUGGAAACAGUACCCAAAACAGCGCUCUCUUCCUUACCUCCCUCGGUAGUGGCCAACUAACUCAGGAAAUAUCAUCAGGACCAGAUCAAGAGGCCAGCCAUGACUGACAUGGAUCACUUGGAUUUCUCCUAAUCCUUAGCUACAGGCAGAUC
This is a non-coding RNA of Callorhinus ursinus (northern fur seal), 285 nucleotides long. The record is from RefSeq and is a predicted model, not a curated record. NCBI's taxonomy places the organism in Eukaryota, Metazoa, Chordata, Mammalia, Carnivora, Otariidae.